UACGGAGGAUCCAAGCGUUGUCCGGAUUUAUUGGGUUUAAAGGGUGCGUAGGCGGAUCUUUAAGUCAGUGGUGAAAGCCUGCAGCUUAACUGUAGAACUGCCAUUGAAACUGAAGAUCUUGAAUAUGGUUAAAGUAAGCGGAAUGUAUCAUGUAGCGGUGAAAUGCUUAGAUAUGAUACAGAACACCGAUAGCGAAGGCAGCUUGCUGAGCCAUUAUUGACGCUGAGGCACGAAAGCGUGGGGAGCAAACAGGAUUAGAUACCCUGGUAGUCCACGCCCUAAACGUUGAUUACUCGUUGUUGGCGAUAUACUGUCAGCGACUAAGCUAAAGCGUUAAGUAAUCCACCUGGGAAGUACGACCGCAAGGUUGAA
RNAcentral lists this ribosomal RNA (372 nucleotides) under uncultured bacterium. Its description in RNAcentral is "bacterial SSU rRNA". It matches the Rfam family "Bacterial small subunit ribosomal RNA", at positions 524 to 898 of the family's 1533-position model. The record is from RNAcentral.